Molecule: non-coding RNA, 265 nt
Organism: Desulfotomaculum nigrificans CO-1-SRB
Lineage: Bacteria; Bacillati; Bacillota; Clostridia; Eubacteriales; Desulfotomaculaceae
Rfam family: Bacterial large signal recognition particle RNA
About the family: The signal recognition particle (SRP) is a universally conserved ribonucleoprotein involved in the co-translational targeting of proteins to membranes. Archaeal SRP consists of a 7S RNA and homologues of the eukaryotic SRP19 and SRP54 proteins.
Source: Rfam
CCGUGCUAGACGGGGAGGUAGCGGUGCCCUGUACCAGCAAUCCGCUGUAGCUGGGUUGAAUUCCUGCCUUAGGGUAUGGCUUGUGAGGUCUGGCUAUCGUAAGGGGCGUUGACGAUCGGGUCUUACGCAGCGUAGGAUCCCGAACCGUGUCAGGUCCUGACGGAAGCAGCACUAAGGGAAUCCCUGCGGGUGCCGUGAGGUAGCCUGGUCUGAGCAACCUGCGGUGGCAUCGCUCGGAAGCCAUUAUUCGACGGUAGGUGCACGG